GUUUAAUCCGAACCCCUCCUUUCGGGUGACCUAAAUAGUUUGGUUCACGUCGAAGAAACAUUGCUCGACAUUGGACAUUGGAAGACUUUUGGUGUGGAUGAUGUUCAGGUCUGAAGAAGUGAGGUUGAAAGAUCGAAAAAGGAGGCGAAAACAAAACACAGGAUGAUGUAUAUGACUCUCCCCCAAGAAGUUACAGCAUGUCACAUCAGUCUCCAGCUCUGCAGGAUCAGGAAGCAGCAAGGUGGUGUGAACGCCAAACAUUUAAAGGCACCAUUUCCCUCCCUAGUGUAAUUGGGAUGGAGGGGGAAGACCGUAUUACAACCCUUAAAGAACUACGGUUGUAUAAUGGCCUGGAUGAGGAGGAAAAUAUUCUUCUCAAGAAACCAUUCAUGUUCUCAUUCCAGUUACAGAGAGAUUAUUAGAUGUUCUAUGUGGAGGCAGUUGACAACAAAUAAAAUGACUGUCUUUGCCUCUUUUGAGGAGCAGGAGUGAAGCAAUUUUUGAGGAGAGGUCAAACCUUGUUUUUGUCUGCUGUGUUAUUUGUUUAAUUUGUUAAUUGUAUUAUGUUGUUUAGUAAAGAUGACUUAGAAGUCA
This is a long non-coding RNA of Oncorhynchus gorbuscha (pink salmon), 594 nucleotides long. RefSeq lists it as uncharacterized. The transcript is spliced from 5 exons. The record is from RefSeq and is a predicted model, not a curated record. NCBI's taxonomy places the organism in Eukaryota, Metazoa, Chordata, Actinopteri, Salmoniformes, Salmonidae.